GGGGGUGUUUUAAUUUGAUAGCUGAUUUUUUUAAAUCUCGCAAGCAGAGCUCUAAAAAUCUCUUUAAACUUUUUAGGCAUCAUAUAAAUGCCAACAUUUUAGGCAAGGCAAAACAAAGUUUGGUUAAUUUAGCCAACGCUUUUAAUUUUGCGCCUGCUUACGCAGUAGCUUAAAACCUAUUGCCAUCCAAUUAGCUGAUUCUUGCUUGAGCUAAAUUGGGUGUUAUAUUCAGCAAGAUAGUUAAACAGACGCCCGGCUGUUUAAUGAAUUUAUGGGCUUAAGCCAAGGCUGUUUUGUUAGUUUUUUAGGCCUUGGCUGAAUCUUAAAAGCUAACUAAACUUGUAGACAGAUUUAAAAUUAUUUGUUAGACGCCGGUGAAAUUCCGACCACCUCCACCA
This 398-nucleotide transfer-messenger RNA is filed under the name Candidatus Kuenenbacteria bacterium CG10_big_fil_rev_8_21_14_0_10_36_11. It matches the Rfam family "transfer-messenger RNA". From Rfam's summary of the family: Bacterial tmRNA, also known as 10Sa RNA or SsrA, is named for its dual tRNA and mRNA-like properties. Its role is to liberate the mRNA from a stalled ribosome. To accomplish this part of the tmRNA is used as a reading frame that ends in a translation stop signal. The record is from RNAcentral. Lineage: Bacteria; Candidatus Kueneniibacteriota.